Molecule: non-coding RNA, 314 nt
Filed under: Enterocytozoon bieneusi H348
Lineage: Eukaryota; Fungi; Microsporidia; Enterocytozoonidae
Description: Archaeal large subunit ribosomal RNA
Rfam family: Archaeal large subunit ribosomal RNA
Source: Rfam by way of RNAcentral
UGGUGAUGUCACACUACAAGGACGUGAGCUGGUUAGACGUCGCGAGACAGUUAGUUUACCCUAUGCAUCGCGUCCGAGAGUAGUCGGGGCAGUACGAGAGGAAGUGCCGAUCAGAACCGCUGGUGAUACUUUCGUCUGUUAAGGCGCGAAGUGUAGCUACGUUCUUCUUAUAAUAGCUGAAAGCCUCUAAGCUAGAAUGAGUACUUAAGGACGCAAAGAUAUGAAGACUACAUAUGUAAGGAUGAGGGUUGUACGAUAUAAGCUUCUGCGAGUAUUUCAGACCACUUAUUUCCUUUUUUAGAACAUGCUUGCUC